Molecule: ribosomal RNA, 321 nt
Filed under: uncultured bacterium
Lineage: Bacteria
Description: bacterial SSU rRNA
Rfam family: Bacterial small subunit ribosomal RNA
Source: RNAcentral
GAUGAACGCUAGCGGCAGGCCUAAUACAUGCAAGUCGAACGGACUUGGGCAGCAAUGUUCAAGUUAGUGGCGCACGGGUGCGUAACGCGUAUGCAACCUACCUUUUCCAGGGGGAUAGCCUUCCGAAAGGGAGAUUAACACCGCAUAAGAUCAGUUCCUGGCAUCAGGGAGUGGUGAAAUCUACGGAGGGAAAANAUGGGCAUGCGUCCGAUUAGCUAGUUGGCGGGGAGUCGGCCCACCAAGGCUGAGAUCGGUCGGGGACCUGAGAGGGCGAUCCCCCACACUGGCACUGAGAUACGGGCCAGACUCCUACGGGAGGCA